AAUGAGCAGAAUAUGUAGCGCCUCCCAUCCAAUAAAUCGCAAUAAUCUUUGUGCUUUGUUACUUCUGAUAUGAAGCAAAGUCUAAGAUUUCAAAUACCGUUUAUCUUAUUAUGAGAUUCAAAAAAUAAAUACCGUUUUGGCGCUGUUUAAUGUGACGAUCGCUCAGUUAAAGAGAAGCGGCAGCACGAGCGCAUGUGAACAUCCUCUCCGCUUUAAUAUCAGUUACAGCGCGAAAUAAACACGACUAAACAUCUAAAGGAGGGUCUCAGGAACAGCAUCAGGCUGGAUAAUCUUUCAAAACCGUGCUCACUUCCUGCCAGACGAGAGGGUAACGAGGCCCAAAACAGUGGCAGAGAGACAAAUUGGACAAACAGCUGGGCUUCAAGAGAGCAGGAUGUUUGUGUCGAGGAGAGGACAGCUGGGGAGGCACACAUGAAAUUGGCAGUAGGAAUGUCAUGAGCGGAUGUCUCAGAGCAUGAGCGCUCAUUAACCGGACUGUGAAGAAUUCUUGAUGUUCAAGCUUCAUCCGUCUCAUAUUGGCCAGAGAGAGUCCUACGAACCAGUAAGUAUGAUGUUAAAAGUAGUUUAUAGAUGAGAGAGGAAAAUUGUUUGUGUGAAGAGCACUUUACCUCUGAGGAGCAAGAGAACUACUCAUGUCAGAAGCCCGAGAAUGUGUCUUUCCCUUCUUUUCCCUUCUAAAACCGAUCUUUCUAACCUUCAUGGAAUUUGAAAAAUAGCCAGCAUAAUUUAAUCAAUUUGCAUCUAUAAUGGUGGAAAGCAGCUUUGAUCUUAAAGUGAGCAAGUUAUGAGGCACUUAUUGCUUGACUGAAGAAGUGUGGUCUAGAAACCUAUAUUAAAGAGGCCAUAUUAUACCCUUUAACAAAGUCUUUGUUUUUGAGGUCUACUAGAAUAGGUUUUCAUGCUUAAAUGUUAAAAAAAAAAAAAAAAAAAAACACAUAUUUAACAUUAUUGCAGCACCUCUCUUUCCAGUCUGUCAGUAAUGUCUUGUUUUCGUCUCUAUGAAGCCCCUCCUUCUGAAAAGUGCAAUGUGCUCUGGUUGGUCGGCUGAAUUAGUGUGUUGUAAUUGGUCAACUGUUUAUAUGUCAUUUUCAGAAAUGACAUGGCCUUACCAUAACUUUGUUUAUAUCUUUGUCACAAUGGCCUGACCAAUUCCCUAUCAAUUCAGUAACAGCACCACCUAAUGGUUAAAGGUUAUAAGCAAUUAUACUGUGUUGUACUUGUGUCUUUUUUAAACCAUUUUUCCUUAACUCAUCUAGGCUUAGGAUUGUCUUCAAAAUGAAAACCUUUUUAACCCUGCAAUUAUUUUAUUUUUAUUUAUUUUUUUGUCAUAUGACCACUUAAGUUACUUAAGUUCAGCAUGUGAUGGGAAAAAACUACUGGGAGGCAGCACCACACUGCUCUUUAAUACAGAUUGAAUAUACACUGAUCAGGGAUAAUAUUAUGACCACCUUCCUAAUAUUGUGUUGGUCCCCCUUUUGCUGCCAAAACA
Molecule: long non-coding RNA, 1510 nt
Organism: Megalobrama amblycephala (Wuchang bream)
Lineage: Eukaryota; Metazoa; Chordata; Actinopteri; Cypriniformes; Xenocyprididae
Exons: 3
Source: RefSeq, a predicted model, not a curated record